GAUGAACGCUGGCGGCGUGCCUAACACAUGCAAGUCGAACGAACGGACCAGGAGCUUGCUCCUCUGAUGUUAGCGGCGGACGGGACCUGAACACGGGUACAACCUACCUAUAAGACUGGGAUACUUUCGGCAAACCGGGUCUUAUACCGGAUAAUAUUUUGAACCGCGUUGGUCAAAGGUGGAAGUCGGUCUUGGUGUCAGUAAUAGCCUACUCCGCGCUGCAUUCGCUGGUGGUUAAGGUGACGGCUUACCAAGGCUACGAUGCAUAGACGGCCCGAACGGGUGGUCGCACACACGGGCAGUGAGACACGGCCCAGACGCCUGCGCGAGGCCACAGUCGGGAAUCCUACGCAAUGGACGAAAGCCUGACGGAGCAACGUCGCGUGAGUCAUGAAGGUCUUCGGAUCGUAAAACUCUGUUAUUAGUGGAGAACAAAUGUGUAAGUACCUGUGCUGAUAUUGACGGUACCUAGUCAAAAAGCCCCGGCUAACUACGUG
RNAcentral lists this ribosomal RNA (497 nucleotides) under uncultured bacterium. RNAcentral describes it as "partial 16S ribosomal RNA". It matches the Rfam family "Bacterial small subunit ribosomal RNA", at positions 28 to 507 of the family's 1533-position model. The record is from RNAcentral.